RNAcentral lists this ribosomal RNA (724 nucleotides) under uncultured fungus. RNAcentral describes it as "eukaryotic LSU rRNA". The stretch from base 205 to 359 matches the Rfam family "5.8S ribosomal RNA". Lineage: Eukaryota; Fungi. The record is from RNAcentral.
CAUUAUCGAGUCGUUAAGCCUGAGGGUUGUCGCUGGCCUCUCGAGGCAUGUGCACGCCUUUGGGCGAUUCAUCCACACACACUUGUGAACCUUUUGUGGGGAACGCCAUAUGCACCUUUCGAGGAGACUGCUUCCCCAUGUUUACAUCAACUCUUUAGUAUGUCUGUAGAAUGUCACUUUGAAUGUGUGCAAUGCAUGCAGUACAACUUUCAACAACGGAUCUCUUGGCUCUCGCAUCGAUGAAGAACGCAGCGAAAUGCGAUAAGUAAUGUGAAUUGCAGAUUUUCAGUGAAUCAUCGAAUCUUUGAACGCACCUUGCGCUCCUUGGUAUUCCGAGGAGCAUGCCUGUUUGAGUGUCAUUGAAUUCUCAACCCCAGAUGGGCUUUGUAGGCCAUGUUGUGGGGCUUGGACUUUGGAGCGUGCUGGCCUUUUUUUGUCGGCUCCUCUUAAAUGCAUUGGCAGACGUGUUUGAAGGCUCUCUGCUGGCUUCGGCGUGAUAAGUCUGUUGCGUCGCUGUCGGGUGGGUGGCAAUGUGGGGCUCUGCUUACAAUUGUCUUGGAUGACGAGACGACCUGUUUGAAACUUGACCUCAAAUCAGGUAGGACUACCCGCUGAACUUAAGCAUAUCAAUAAGCGGAGGAAAAGAAACUAACAAGGAUUCCCCUAGUAACUGCGAGUGAAGCGGGAAGAGCUCAAAUUUAAAAUCUGAUGGUCUCUGGCCGUC